RNAcentral lists this transfer RNA (84 nucleotides) under Nocardia farcinica. RNAcentral describes it as "tRNA_Leu_TAG". It matches the Rfam family "tRNA". From Rfam's summary of the family: Transfer RNA (tRNA) molecules are approximately 80 nucleotides in length. The record is from RNAcentral. Lineage: Bacteria; Bacillati; Actinomycetota; Actinomycetes; Mycobacteriales; Nocardiaceae.
GCGCUAGUGGCGGAACUGGUAGACGCCCCGGAUUUAGGUUCCGGUGUCCGUGAGGGCGUGGGAGUUCGAGUCUCCCCUAGCGCA